Molecule: small RNA, 1555 nt
Filed under: Arabidopsis thaliana (thale cress)
Lineage: Eukaryota; Viridiplantae; Streptophyta; Magnoliopsida; Brassicales; Brassicaceae
Description: ATSL191760
Source: RNAcentral
AAUAUAUAACUCUAUAGAAAUGUAUUAACUACAAAAUCUAGGAAAUAAUGUCAUUUUUUAAAUAUUGAAUAUCUACUAAGUUAUGACUUUCUUUGUCUAAAAAAUGCUUCAGCUUUUGAACAAAAUAAUAAUAAAGAUUAUACUUUAUAACAAAGAAAAUUUGAGUCAAAUUAACAGCAUAAUAUUUUGUUUUUAUGAUUCAGCGUUUUGAAUGCAAAGACCAAAUUACCACAAGAUCUCUAAACUUCACCGACUAAAAACUAAGGGUAAUUAAGUCAUUUUACAAAAAAGAAGAAAAAAAGACGGAGAUAUAUAAAAAUGUGACACGUUUAGGCACUUUUAGAUAAUCUUAUUCUUUUUUAUGCACUUAUGAGGGUGAGGACACUUUUUCCAUUAUUUGACUUUUUUUAAGACAUUUUUACCCCUAACUUAAACAACUACUUUUAUUUUGAAUUUUAACACAAAUUAAAUAUUUUUUCUCUCUUCCACGAUCCUUACGCAAAAUAGAAAAAAAGAUCUCUCUCUCUCUCUCUUUCUCUCUCUCACAUUUGUAGUGCCUUUCUCUCUCCACGUCUCCAUAACUUCUAGGUUUGAUUCCUCUUAUCGAUUAUGACGGCGGCUCACUAAAAAUUGGUGAUAACGAUUCUGCAAAUAAAUGGGAGAAGUUUCUUAAACAAUUCGAUCUCGAUUAUCUCAGGAAUUUGGUAAAAAAUUUUGGUAUCCAUAAUAACAAGUCCAUUUAAAUAUAUCCAUUCAGAAACCUUUUUACUGAUCCAUAUCCAAUCUAUAUACCAUGUCAAUAAUAACAAGAAAUUCGAUUAACCGUGGUUCGUAUAGAAACCAAAGUUCCAUGUCCAUAAGAUCUUGAAGGUGGAGGUCUCUCCAAACUGAAAGAAAAAUCAACAAAUAAUUUUUUGGUAUCUAUAAUAACAAGUCCAUUUAAAUAUAUCCAUUCAGAAACCUUUCUACUGAUCCGUAUCCAUUCUAUAUACCAUGUCAAUAAUAAUAGGAGAUUCGAUUAACCGUGUUUUGUAAAGAAACCAAAGUUCCAUGUCCAUAAGGUUUUGAAGGUGGAGGUCUCUGCAAACUGAAAGAAAAAUCAACAAACAAUUUUUUGGUGUCCAUAAUAACGAAUCCAUUUAAAUAUAUCCAUUCGGAAACCUUUUUACUGAUCUAUAUCCAUUUUAUAUAACAUGUCCAUGAUAACAGGAGAUUCGAUUAACUGAAAUCUCGAUGCUACGUAGAUGAAACGAGUUUGACACAUGAGAGAGAACAAAAAUCAAAUCAAGCCGCCAUUGUUGAAGAUGAAGAAGUUUCUUCUCAUUUUUUACAAAGAUGAAAAGAGAGAGAGGUGAAGAGAGAGAGAGAUGAAGAGAGAGAGAGAUGAAGAGAGAGAGAAAGAGAGAAAACGUGGGUUAAGAGAAUAUUUUAGUUAAGAGGGUAUUUUAGUAAAAAAACAUAGAGAAAAUGCCUAAUCUUUUGAAAGUGCCUAAAAACGGAAAUAAUUUUAAUAAAAUGUUUAAGAGUGUAAUAUUCUCUAUAUAAAAUCGUAAAU